GACGAACGCUGGCGGCGUGCUUAACACAUGCAAGUCGUACGGUAAGGCCCUUUCGGGGGUACACGAGUGGCGAACGCGGGAGUAACACGUACGUAACCUGCCCCCAACUUUGGGAUAACGCUAAGAAACUGGUGCUAAUACUGGAUAUGUGCUCCUGCUUCAUGGUGGGGGUUGGAAAGCUCCGGCGGUUGUGGAUGGACUCGCGGCCUAUCAGCUUGUUGGUGGGGUAGUGGCCUACCAAGGCGGCGUCGGGUAGCCGGCCUGAGAGGGUGACCGGCCACAUUGGGACUGAGGGACGGCACAGACUCCUACGGGAGGCAGCAGGGGGGAAUAUUGCAGAAGGGGCGCAAGCCUGAUGCAGCAACGCCGCGUGCGGGAUGACGGCCUUCGGGUUGUAAACCGCAUUCAGCAGGGACGAAGCUUUUCGUGACGGUACCUGCAGAAGAAGCACCGGCUAACUACGUG
Molecule: ribosomal RNA, 465 nt
Filed under: uncultured bacterium
Lineage: Bacteria
Description: partial 16S ribosomal RNA
Rfam family: Bacterial small subunit ribosomal RNA
Source: RNAcentral